Molecule: ribosomal RNA, 254 nt
Filed under: uncultured bacterium
Lineage: Bacteria
Description: partial 16S ribosomal RNA
Rfam family: Bacterial small subunit ribosomal RNA
Source: RNAcentral
UACGGGGGGAGCAAGCGUUGUGCGGAUUUACUGGGCGUAAAGGGCGCGUAGGCGGCCAGCGCAAGUCAGUUGUGAAAUCUCCGAGCUUAACUCGGAAAGGUCAACUGAUACUGCGCGGCUAGAGUGCGGAAGGGGCAACUGGAAUUCUUGGUGUAGCGGUGAAAUGCGUAGAUAUCAAGAGGAACACCUGCGGCGAAGGCGGGUUGCUGGGCCGACACUGACGCUGAUGCGCGAAAGCCAGGGGAGCGAACGGG